This 889-nucleotide ribosomal RNA is filed under the name bacterium 113. RNAcentral describes it as "bacterial SSU rRNA". It matches the Rfam family "Bacterial small subunit ribosomal RNA", at positions 1 to 906 of the family's 1533-position model. The record is from RNAcentral.
UUAUAUAUAUUUUUUUUUCCCCCGUCAGACGAACGCUGGCGGCGUGCUUAACACAUGCAAGUCGAACGGAAAGGCCCCUUCGGGGGUACUCGAGUGGCGAACGGGUGAGUAACACGUGAGUAACCUGCCCUUGACUUCGGGAUAACUUCAGGAAACUGGGGCUAAUACCGGAUAGGAAUCCUUGCUGCAUGGUGGGGGUUGGAAAGCUUCGGCGGUUUUGGAUGGACUCGCGGCUUAUCAGCUUGUUGGUGGGGUAGUGGCUUACCAAGGCUUUGACGGGUAGCCGGCCUGAGAGGGCGACCGGCCACAUUGGGACUGAGAUACGGCCCAGACUCCUACGGGAGGCAGCAGUGGGGAAUAUUGCACAAUGGGCGGAAGCCUGAUGCAGCAACGCCGCGUGCGGGAUGACGGCCUUCGGGUUGUAAACCGCUUUCAGCAGGGGCGAAGCUUGUGGUGACGGUACCUGCAGAAGAAGCACCGGCUAACUACGUGCCAGCAGCCGCGGUGAUACGUAGGGUGCGAGCGUUGUCCGGAUUUAUUGGGCGUAAAGAGCUCGUAGGUGGUUGAUUGCGUCGGAAGUGAAAACUUGGGGCUUAACCCUGAGCGUGCUUUCGAUACGGGUUGACUUGAGGAAGGUAGGGGAGAAUGGAAUUCCUGGUGGAGCGGUGGAAUGCGCAGAUAUCAGGAGGAACACCAGUGGCGAAGGCGGUUCUCUGGACCUUUCCUGACGCUGAGGAGCGAAAGCGUGGGGAGCGAACAGGCUUAGAUACCCUGGUAGUCCACGCUGUAAACGGUGGGUACUAGGUGUGGGGUCCAUUCCACGGAUUCCGUGCCGUAGCUAACGCAUUAAGUACCCCGCCUGGGGAGUACGGCCGCAAGGUAAAUAGAG